Mobula hypostoma (lesser devil ray) is the source of this 701-nucleotide long non-coding RNA. RefSeq lists it as uncharacterized. The record is from RefSeq and is a predicted model, not a curated record. The transcript is spliced from 3 exons. Lineage: Eukaryota; Metazoa; Chordata; Chondrichthyes; Myliobatiformes; Myliobatidae.
CAACAGCCAGUUUUCCUUGUCCUGGAUACAGUACUCUCUCUUAUGCCGAAGUGACUUUGUCCCUGCGAAAAAUGGAUAGCUGCUUACAAGAUACUUUCAGCACUCUUGCCAGGAGAACUUGAAGCUUGGGUCCAUAGGCUUCACUGGAUUAACAAAGGGGUUCAUGGAAUGGAAAAGGCCAAGAACACCUGUGCUAGAGGAACUCAGCAAAUCAGGCAACAUCAUUUCAGGGAGUUGAACUUCUUUAUCCCCUGCGGAAGUAGAGGUGCCCUUGGCUGUGACAAUAUUAUCCAAAAGAUGACAUUACCAACAAAACAGGACUAAUGGCUGAAGACGAAGGCACAAUUUCUGCAAGUCUGAGUUUGCUGGAGGCUGGAGACUGAAGGCGGCCCGGCUGUCCUGGAGUUGGAGGACCGUGUACGUCCCUGGGUAGGAGGGAGGAACGGGGCUUGUUUUGUUGUUGUUGUUUUGUUGCUUGUUGUCAAUUCAAGUCAAGUUUAUUGUCAUUUAACUAUAUACAUGUACACCGCCAAACGAAACAACGUUUCUUUGGACCAGGGUGUAAAGCACAGUGGUACACAUUACACACGUACUGUAUAACACACAAUAACUUAGGAAAGUAAGAAUCAAAUCUACAAAUGAAUUACACAUAGAUAAAGAAAGUAAAGCGCAUAAAUUAAGUAUUGCAGGGUACAAUACGA